CAAGUACUCCCUCCGUCCGGAAUUACUUGUCAUCAAAAUGGAUGUGUCUAGAACUAAAAUACAUCUAGAUACAUCCAUUUCAAUGACAAGUAUUUUCGGGCGGAGGGAGUACAAG
Molecule: non-coding RNA, 115 nt
Organism: Triticum aestivum (bread wheat)
Lineage: Eukaryota; Viridiplantae; Streptophyta; Magnoliopsida; Poales; Poaceae
Source: Rfam